Molecule: ribosomal RNA, 252 nt
Filed under: uncultured Gardnerella sp.
Lineage: Bacteria; Bacillati; Actinomycetota; Actinomycetes; Bifidobacteriales; Bifidobacteriaceae
Description: partial 16S ribosomal RNA
Rfam family: Bacterial small subunit ribosomal RNA
Source: RNAcentral
CGGGUGAGUAAUGCGUGACCAACCUGCCCCAUGCUCCAGAAUAGCUCUUGGAAACGGGUGGUAAUGCUGGAUGCUCCAACUUGACGCAUGUCUUGUUGGGAAAGUGUUUAGUGGCAUGGGAUGGGGUCGCGUCCUAUCAGCUUGUAGGCGGGGUAAUGGCCCACCUAGGCUUCGACGGGUAGCCGGCCUGAGAGGGCGGACGGCCACAUUGGGACUGAGAUACGGCCCAGACUCCUACGGGAGGCAGCAGNG